This 376-nucleotide ribosomal RNA is filed under the name uncultured bacterium. RNAcentral describes it as "bacterial SSU rRNA". It matches the Rfam family "Bacterial small subunit ribosomal RNA", at positions 28 to 412 of the family's 1533-position model. The record is from RNAcentral.
GACGAACGCUGGCGGCGUGCCUAACACAUGCAAGUCGAACGGAGCACUUCGGUGCUUAGUGGCGAACGGGUGAGUAACGCGUGAGAAACCUGCCUUUCAGUGGGGGACAACAGUUGGAAACGACUGCUAAUACCGCAUAAUGUUAUUUGGGGGCAUCCCCGAAUAACCAAAGCUUUAUGUGCUGAAAGAUGGUCUCGCGUCUGAUUAGCUAGAUGGCGGGGUAACGGCCCACCAUGGCGACGAUCAGUAGCCGGUCUGAGAGGAUGAACGGCCACAUUGGGACUGAGAUACGGCCCAGACUCCUACGGGAGGCAGCAGUGGGGAAUAUUGGGCAAUGGGGGAAACCCUGACCCAGCAACGCCGCGUGAAGGAAGAA